UAUUUAUGUGACAGGCAAUGCCACUGCUGAAUACAACUGCAACUUUAAAUCAAUACAGUGUUUGUGUUUGAAUUAAGAUGCAGGAUUAAGAUGUCAAAUCUGCUGCCACCCACAAGAUGCAGUAGUGAUAAAGUCCGGAGAAUGUGGAGUUUCUUAUCAUUCAUCAAACUGAAAGUACUACCUUUAGAUUCAUACUGUUACAGUAAGGUCACCGUAGUUCCAUUUUUAGCGACGUUCCAAUUCCCUUUUCACUUCUGCAUUUAUAGUUGAUUUGGUGUUCGGCAGCGUAAGUGUCUGACCAUUAAAGAGAACGCAAGUUCUACAGCAGGUCAAUCCCACCAAUCUGUGUCACGCACCAUGGGCAGAUGUAUCGACGUUUGCAAGCUGGUCUUAUGGGUUGCAGUUUGUGUGACCUUCAUUGUCUUGGGCCAUUUUUGGACCUUCUCUGUAUUCCAACCCAACUAUGCACGGAAAGAGAUCAUCGGCAACACAGUAUACUGCAACAAAUCUCUAUACCUCUUUGUGGCCUCUACCACCAUCCUAUUGGACAUUAUUAUAUGUAUGUGGCUGCUUGUGUUGUUUGAUGUAUGUAAAUGCUUCAUACUUUGUCUGGUCUGCUGUGUCUCUUUAUGCAAGUCUGACGAUGUCAAACCUGUGCAGGUUGUUGAGCCUUUGAGGGUUGUGGAGACUGAGGACUGCGUUGAACCUAAGGAGUGUGUGGGGACUGACGGAAGUGUGGGGACUGACCUGUGUGUGGGGACUGAAGUGUGUGUGGGGACUGAGGUGUGUAUGGGGAUUGAGGUGUGUGUGGAGACUCAGGAAAGUGUGGGGCUUGACGAGAGUGUGAAACUUGAAGAGAGUGUGGAGUACGUGGAGAGUAUGGAGUAUAAGGAGUAUGUGGUAACUGGGCAGAGUGAGUCCAACACUGCUCAUUAUUAA
RNAcentral lists this long non-coding RNA (939 nucleotides) under Oncorhynchus kisutch (coho salmon). RNAcentral's name for it is "lncRNA (ENSOKIG00005014987.1)". The record is from RNAcentral. Lineage: Eukaryota; Metazoa; Chordata; Actinopteri; Salmoniformes; Salmonidae.